Molecule: ribosomal RNA, 453 nt
Filed under: uncultured bacterium
Lineage: Bacteria
Description: bacterial SSU rRNA
Rfam family: Bacterial small subunit ribosomal RNA
Source: RNAcentral
UACGGGAGGCAGCAGUGGGGAAUAUUGCACAAUGGGCGCAAGCCUGAUGCAGCCAUGCCGCGUGUAUGAAAAAGGCCUUCGGGUUGUAAAGUACUUUCAGUCGUGAGGAAGGUGUUAAGGUUAAUAACCUUAGCAAUUGACGUUAGCGACAGAAGAAGCACCGGCUAACUCCGUGCCAGCAGCCGCGGUAAUACGGAGGGUGCGAGCGUUAAUCGGAAUUACUGGGCGUAAAGGGCACGCAGGCGGUUAAUUAAGUUGGAUGUGAAAUCCCCGGGCUUAACCUGGGAAUGGCAUUCAAGCUGGUUAGCUAGAGUCUUGUAGAGGGGGUAGAAUUCCAUGUGUAGCGGUGAAAUGCGUAGAGAUGUGGAGGAAUACCGGUGGCGAAGGCGGCCCCUGGGACAAAGACUGACGCUCAUGUGCGAAAGCGUGGGGAGCAAACAGGGAUUAGAUACC